Molecule: ribosomal RNA, 491 nt
Filed under: uncultured bacterium
Lineage: Bacteria
Description: partial 16S ribosomal RNA
Rfam family: Bacterial small subunit ribosomal RNA
Source: RNAcentral
AGUGAACGCUGGCGGUAGGCCUAACACAUGCAAGUCGAACGGCAGCACAGUAAGAGCUUGCUCUUACGGGUGGCGAGUGGCGGACGGGUGAGGAAUACAUCGGAAUCUACUUUUUCGUGGGGGAUAACGUAGGGAAACUUACGCUAAUACCGCAUACGACCUACGGGUGAAAGCAGGGGAUCUUCGGACCUUGCGCGAUUGAAUGAGCCGAUGUCGGAUUAGCUAGUUGGCGGGGUAAAGGCCCACCAAGGCGACGAUCCGUAGCUGGUCUGAGAGGAUGAUCAGCCCAACGGGAACUGAGACACGGUCCAGACCCCUAGGGGAGGCAGCAGGGGGGAAUAUUGGACAAUGGGCGCAAGCCUGAUCCAGCCAUACCGCGUGGGUGAAGAAGGCCUUCGGGUUGUAAAGCCCUUUUGUUGGGAAAAAAAAGCAGCAGGUUAAAACCCCGCUGUUCUGACGGUACCCAAAGAAUAAGCACCGGCUAACUUCGU